Equus caballus (horse) is the source of this 4175-nucleotide long non-coding RNA. The record is from Ensembl. Lineage: Eukaryota; Metazoa; Chordata; Mammalia; Perissodactyla; Equidae.
AGAGAGGAGGGUCGGAGAUGUAAAUAUGGGAGUCAUGAGUGUAUAGACAGCAUUCAAAGCUAUGGGACAGGAUAAGUUGAGCAGAGAAAUAGUGUAAAAUAGAGAAGACCCAGAGGCUUAACCUUUGGAAACUGGGACAGAAAGGAGACUGAAAGGGACAAGAGUGGUAGGCCAGGAGAGUUUGACGUUCUAGAAGCAGGUUCAGGAGAGUGGAGCAGAGAGAAAUUCAGCUGGAGUUUAAGGCUAUUUAGGAGAAAGGAAGUGGAGACAAUGAGUGUACACAUCUCUUUCAAUAAAUUUUACUGUGACUGGACUAGUGGAACGGAGCUAUAAAUCAUUUAAUCUCUUUUUUUCUCUCUCUACAAGUGAAUAUUUAAAGACGAUAUUUUCAUAACAUUUAGCUUUUGUUACAAAACAAACCACCCCAAGAGCUAGUGGCUUAAAAGAUAAUUUUAAAAAAGAUAAAUAUUUAUAAUUUCUUAUUAUUCGGCUGGCUGUUCUUCCGGUCGGGGUAAGCUUGGCGGAGAUUGGUUCAUCCCAGAGGGCCUCAUUCACACGUCUGGCUGUUGGCACUAUGUCAGGUGAGGCAGGGCAUAACUUGGCCAUGUGUCCCUCAUCAUCCAGCAAGCUAGCCUGGGCUCAUUCACAUGGUGUGAUUGCAGAGUUUCCAAGAAAAACACACCAAUACUUUUCAAGUCUCUGCUUAUAUCACAUUUGCUAUUGUCCCAUUAACCAAAGCAAGGCACAUGGUUAAGCCAAGAGUCAGUGUGGGAGGGAAAUGCUCAAGGACAUGGAGAGAGGGAGGAAAUUAUAACAGUCCUUUUUGCAAAUAAUCUCCCACAACUAUUAAUGUAUUUCUAAUUAUGUGAAUUCAUCUUCUGAGUUGCUCAUGUUAGAAACCUCAAAGUUAUUUUCUGCCUCUUUUUUCUCUCAUAGAGUAAAAUGGGAAAUUAUUUAAUUAGCUAAGUAAAAAUGUAUUUUGUGGAAAAUCAUUUCCUCUCAGUACUUUAAUAAUCUAAAUAUUAAUAUAAACUUUGAUCACAGACCCAGUACUGUUUUGAUUAAUUAUACUCAGAAACUGGAAAAGAAAGAACAUAAUUGGCAGACUAAAAUAUGAAAUUUAUUCAAAUCCCUUAUAACAAAACAUGGCUUAAUAUACCAGUAAUACGUUUCAUUUUAUUUGUUUUCUUACAAAUAUGCAAAGAGGUAAUCACCAAUAAGUGGUAGUAUUUAAACACUUGGAAAAAAUAUUAAGCAAUACUCUUGUUGUAGCUAAUUGUGCAUAUGCAUCUUAUCUGAAGUUGGCAGCAAGUGAAAUUAAAUGGUUUUCCAAAUGACUGCAUUGCCAAUCCACCUUCUUUCAGCUAAUUGACUGAUUUUGGUCAUUGCUGCCUCCCAAGGGGGUCACUUGCACUGACGUGGAGUAUUGACAAUCCCGUAUGGCACUAAAGCUUGCUACAACCAUCGGUUGGUGCAACCCCACAGGGGGCCUUUUAGAAAGCACUGAAUAGGGAUCCUUUCCUGUUGAGAGAGAUGUGGAAUGGGAUACAGGCACGGCAUUGCAGAGAGGAAUGCUGUUGGACCCCACUCAAACAGCCUCAUAACAAGUCUGGGCCUUGGUUUAUUCAUCUGGAAAACAGGAGAUCGCCUUGAAAGUCUUCUCGCAAUCUGUGGCUCUCUGAGUCCACGUGAGCUCUGCCGGCGUAAUAGAAUCAGCACACUGUUAACCACAGAAAUGGAGGAAGGAGCCCUGAACACCCCAAUUCUGGUUAAAACAGGAGGCAAGAGCAAUCACAACCAGUGUCUAGUAACAUGUUUACCAUUCUGCAGACACAAAUCCAAAGUUCAAGCGACACAAGCAUAACAGCAGGGUCGGAAUCCAAAACUUCGCAUACACCAAAAGGCUACAGUCAUCUGUGACUGGUGUUGGUUCCAGAAUUGAGCCUUGAUUGUUUUUCAAAUGUUGGAAAAUGUCUGUGCAGCAUCUUGUGGUUGAAAUGCCUGCUCACCUGCUUUCUGAGGUCUGUCAGGUUGACAAGCUCAGGAGGGAGUCUCCGCCACUUUUUGAGCCCCAGAUCUCUGAGAAUCUGUAACAGUCCCAGGUGCAGUCAGUUGUCCAUGCAACGUGCAUAUGCACCUCACAUAUGCAAACAAUUAAGAAGGCUUCCUGGGUCUCAGGCGCCAGGGGAAACCUGCUUGUCCGGCCAACCCCUCACUCUCCUUCCUGUUUCUGACCUGCGUCAUAACACCACUCGUCGUCUCAACCCUAGUUGGCACCCACGCCAGUCAAGCCACUCGACUUGAAAGUAAACUCCUCAUCUCCAGAGUUACAGUUGACAAAGUAAUCCUAAAUAUGACAUAUUGUGAUGUGGACUGACCAUGCCGGACUUGCGCACAGCUUGCACCACCUGUACUCACCAGUGUUGCUGUCUCUUUUGAUCCUGCAAGAUGUAUUACAUUUGGCAGAAGCCAUGGAAGAAAAAGUGUAUCAGGGAAGUGAGAACUGUUGUCAUCAACUAGCCUUCACAGUUGAUGUUUCUUCAAGAUUCAGCUGACCUUCGCUACCUUUUCAAGAGCAACUCACUUCUGUAAAAUUGUACACACAGUGCGAUGAAACUUUUGUUAAAAAAAUACAGCAUAGAUAGCUACAGAAAAAAAUGGUUGUUUUAGAGUGGUGGGAUUAUGGGUGAUUUCCACUUUUCUACAGUCGACCAUCCUGCUCUCUACUUGGCUGGAAAUCAAAGGCCCAUCCAGAUAAGAAUCUCCGCAAUGUGCAUUUUCAGAGCAAGUCAGAAGCUGCUUUGUUUUAACACUCAAAGAAAGCUUUUGUAUUUUCGAUUUCGAGUGCUCUGCAGUAAAAUCAACAGUCUAUAUAGAUUAUACAAAAGGGUCAUAUGUUGGUUUGAGCCAGUUUCUGGGGGAAAAAAAUCACCAUUGAGGAACAGCAAGUGUUUAAACAAUGAACUGACAGCUGCCGGUCCAUUAGAUCCUCCAUGGGUGCAAUUCCUGCUCUUUGCAAUUUCACUGUGGUCUGUAGAUACCACCCUUCGUGGCUGAGCUGGUGGUGAUGGGCUGUGUUCCAAUAGCACCUGCACUUAGCGGAGGGAUGUCUUUCAUCAGAGGCCUCUCGCAUAAAGUCCAUCAUAAGAAAGAGAAACCGUGCCAGCUCCGAAAGGGAGAAGAAGAAAAUAUACAGCUAUUUCAAAGUCCGUAUUGGCCAUUUAAGUACUUGUAGAGUUAGAACUAAAAACUUGAAGCUCUUGAUUUACACUAUAUUCUCUUGGCCAUUCUAAGGAGUAUCAGGAUUCAUCUUUAGCUGAAGUUUAAUCCAAAUAGUCAAACCUCAGAGUUUGCUAAAUUAAGUGCUUUUUUUUUUUUUUUUGAGGAAGAUUAGCCCUGAGCUAACAUCUGCUGCCAAUCCUCCUCUUUUUGCUGAGGAAGCCUGGCCCUGAGCUAACAUCCGUGCCCAUCUGCCUCUACUUUCUGUGUGGGACGCCUGCCACAGCAUGGCAUGCCAAGCAGUGCCAUGUCUGCACCCGGGAUCUGAACCCACGAAUCCCAGGCCACCGAAGUGGAACAUGCGAACGUAACUGCUGCGCCACUAGGUUGGCACCAUUAAGUGCUAAUUUAAUGAUGACGUCUGCCUUUAAAAAUAUCUUUCUGGUGAUAGGCUUAAAGAAGAGACAUGAAAGAAUAUUUUCUUUAACUUCUGCUUCAGCAAGCUACAAUCCUCUUAAUUUUCUCUUUACUGGAGUCAGAUGUUCAUAAUUAGCCCUAUUUGAACAGCCCAAGGGUUGGUCCAGGGUUUCACAGGAGAGUAAAAAGUCUUAGGUGAAGACAAGCCUUUGAUUCUCUUUAUCAAGGUCUUUCCUCACCUUUGAUUUGAUUCUCUGCUGAAUCGCUCCUUUCCUUCAGUCCCUUAGAAUGCCUUCCUUUGGGAUCUCUGGUUUAGAUUUUCAGUGGAUGUUUAUACCUGUGUCUGGGCCCACCGCUUGCCCUGACCGCAUCUCAGAUCUGCCACAUCUUGAUUGCUUACCCCAUUACCUUCUUUCCCCUUGGAUCCUUAAUAACGGCACCUCUGCUUUCCUAGACAUAGCUUUCACCUGCAGCUAUCCGUGCCCCAGCUGAACCGAACUAGGUUUUAGCUCCACCAGUUUGAGCCGAGCAGUCACUUC